Molecule: transfer RNA, 73 nt
Filed under: Ovis aries (sheep)
Lineage: Eukaryota; Metazoa; Chordata; Mammalia; Artiodactyla; Bovidae
Rfam family: tRNA
About the family: Transfer RNA (tRNA) molecules are approximately 80 nucleotides in length. Their secondary structure includes four short double-helical elements and three loops (D, anti-codon, and T loops).
Source: Rfam by way of RNAcentral
UCCCUGGUGGUCCAGUGGCUAAGAUUCUGUGCUCCCAAUGCAGGGAGCCUGGGUUCAAUCCCUGCUCGGGGAA